UUAAAGGAAUUGACGGAAGGGCACCACCAGAUGUGGCACGUGCGGCUUAAUUUGACUCAACACGGGGAAACUCACCAGGUCCAGACACAUUAAGGAUUGACAGAUUGAGAGCUCUUUCUUGAUUAUGUGGGUGGUGGUGCAUGGCCGUUCUUAGUUGGUGGAGUGAUUUGUCUGCUUAAUUGCGAUAACGAACGAGACCUUAACCUGCUAAAUAGCCAGGCUAGCUUUUGCUGGUCGCCGGCUUCUUAGAGGGACUAUCGGCUCAAGCCGAUGGAAGUUUGAGGCAAUAACAGGUCUGUGAUGCCCUUAGAUGUUCUGGGCCGCACGCGCGCUACACUGACAGAGCCAACGAGUAUAAACCUUAACCGAGAGGUUUGGGUAAUCUUGUUAAACUCUGUCGUGCUGGGGAUAGGGCAUUGCAAUUAUUGCCCUUCAACGAGGAAUAUCUAGUAAGCGCAAGUCAUCAGCUUGCGUUGAUUACGUCCCUGCCCUUUGUACACACCGCCCGUCGCUACUACCGAUUGAAUGGCUCAGUGAGGCCUUCGGACUGGCUCCAGUGGAUCGGCAACGUUCUUCAGGAGCCGGAAAGUUGGUCAAACUUGGUCAUUUAGAGGAAGUAAAAGUCGUAACAAGGUUUGAAGUAAGGACCCUUCCAUGGGUGACGCUCACGAGAAGCCUUUGUGGCCCCGCAAGGGGUACUCGCCGCGACUGUAAACAAUGGAAUGCGAGUAUUAAAUCGCAAGUCAGCCUGCAUUUGCAGCUGGCCACACUUUCGAAUUGCGGGGACACCCUAAAGCCCACCUCUACCAACCAACCUGAGAAAUCCGGUUGGGGCCUGUGUUAACAGCACAGGAGAUGGUCAUAACGAGGUGGGAUAGGUCAGCCUUCUGGGCUGGCACAAUGGGCAAUCCGCAGCCAAGUCCUAAGGUCCUGUUCGGGCUACGGAAAAGGUUCACAGACUAAGUGGAAGUGGGCUGGAGCUUUGAUCCAGCUUAAGAUAUAGUCGGGCUCUGUGCGAGAGUGCAGAGGAGUCACAACCGUUCCGUAGGUGAACCUGCGGAAGGAUCAUUA
RNAcentral lists this ribosomal RNA (1071 nucleotides) under Arthrobotrys conoides. RNAcentral describes it as "bacterial SSU rRNA". The stretch from base 1 to 653 matches the Rfam family "Eukaryotic small subunit ribosomal RNA", at positions 1144 to 1831 of the family's 1831-position model. The record is from RNAcentral. Lineage: Eukaryota; Fungi; Ascomycota; Orbiliomycetes; Orbiliales; Orbiliaceae.